Molecule: long non-coding RNA, 445 nt
Filed under: Homo sapiens (human)
Lineage: Eukaryota; Metazoa; Chordata; Mammalia; Primates; Hominidae
Description: HSALNT0319556
Source: RNAcentral
GCAUCGCCAGGGCGGAGCUGAGUUCUCCUCUGCACAGACUUCAGAUAUACAGCGAAGGCGGAGCAGUGUUCUCCUCAGCACAGACCCAGGCGGGCCGGGGGCACCGCGAGGGCGGAGCUGCGUUCUGCUCAGCACAGACCCGGGGGACACCGCUAAGGCAGAGCAGCGUUCUCCUCAGCACAGACCUUUGGGGCACUGCCUCGCUUUGGGACAACUCGGGACCGCAUAGACGGGAUCAUGGCACAAGUUGCAGUUUCCACCCUGCCCAUGGAAGAUGAGGAGUCUGUUGAAGAUGAUUCCGUGGAGAGCAGGAUGGUGGUGACAUUUCUCAUAUCAGCUCUCGAGUCCACGCUGCUGCUGUGUUGGACACUUGCUCCCAUCUACUUUCUUCUCUAGAAUCCACGGGUAAGCCACAUCUAACGAAGAGAAUAUUUAACCAUAACGU